GUCAUAACAAGCAUAAAGAUGUCAUAAAGUUUAGAGGCCAAACAAGUGAACAUUGGAGGAGGAAUCCAUUACUGGUUUAAGUCUCAGUUUCCAAAGGCCCAAGAACAAGGAGCUCCAAUGUUCGGGAUGCAAUGGCAGUACCCUCUGACUAGCACACUUUCUGUGGAUGUGGGAGAUUAUGUCUUAAUUCACAGAAAAAAGAAGCCUUUAAGACAGGAUAUGAAGGUACAGGUUACAGGCUAUUACCAAAAAUAUCAGAAAGCAAAGAUGCUCACCUCAUGACCAGGAAGCAAAAGACAGGAAGAGGAAGGACCCAAGAGCCCAAUAUUUCCUGCAAGCCACACCCACAAUGGCCUAAACACCUCACACUAGACCCCACCUCCUUAGGAUUCAGCCCCCCUCCCAAUAGCACCACCUGGGG
Long non-coding RNA from Heterocephalus glaber (naked mole-rat), 421 nucleotides. Lineage: Eukaryota; Metazoa; Chordata; Mammalia; Rodentia; Bathyergidae. The record is from Ensembl.